CAGCCGCCGCGGUAAUACAGAGGGUGCGAGCGUUAAUCGGAUUUACUGGGCGUAAAGCGUGCGUAGGCGGCUAAUUGAGUCGGAUGUGAAAUCCCAGAGCUUAACUUGGGAAUUGCAUUCGAUACUGGUUAGCUAGAGUGUGGGAGAGGAUGGUAGAAUUCCAGGUGUAGCGGUGAAAUGCGUAGAGAUCUGGAGGAAUACCGAUGGCGAAGGCAGCCAUCUGGCCUAAUACUGACGCUGAGGUACGAAAGCAUGGGGAGCAAACAGGAUUAGAUACCCCUGUAGUCCCUGUCUCUUAUAC
This 301-nucleotide ribosomal RNA is filed under the name uncultured bacterium. Its description in RNAcentral is "partial 16S ribosomal RNA". It matches the Rfam family "Bacterial small subunit ribosomal RNA", at positions 509 to 807 of the family's 1533-position model. The record is from RNAcentral.